ACAUCCUAGGACACUUUGAAAUCUUAAGCUUUGAUAUCAAGUUUGUCACGCCCCAAAUUCAUGGGACAUGACCGGCACUCGACCGGUAUCCCUAGUCAAGUGGACCUGGGUGCCUUUCCUAUAACACGUGUUACCCCCGCAUUUCCAUUACUCAUUAAUCAAAGAAAUUUGCCAUUUAUAAUUGAAAAACCCUUUUUACAAACAUACAUACACUUAAUGAGGUUUACAACUUACAUCGCCCAAUUUAUAAAAUACAUAUUUACACAAGUUUGCAACCCACAUUUACUGUCUACGGAGCCUCUAAGGAUACAGAAGGAUGAUACAAUACUUGCCAGUAACAACGCUCUAGCUACAUCUUUCACAACAAAAUCAAAACAACAUUUCCAAAUUAAAAAGCAUCAUGAGCCACGCAAAGCCCCGAGAGGAAAACGGUAACAAGGCUCCGGCUAUACCUUUCACAACAAAGAUAAAACAAUAUUUCCAAAUUAAAAAGUAGCAUGAGCCACGCAAAGGCCAGAGAGGAAAGGGGCUCACCAAUACAUCUGAUGAAAAGUGGAGGGAAGCUACGGUCCGUGGACUGGAGUAUCUGCUAUUGAUCCACCUACAUUCGUAACACGAAUGUAGCGCCCCCGGCAAAAGGGAUGUCAGCCACAUCUGCAUUGUAUUGGAAUGUAUGAACAAACACAAGUAGCAAGCAAUAAUAGAAUCAACAAUUGAAUACACGUCUAAGGAACAAUCAAGCCAAACAAGUUACCAUCUCUCCUUCUUCCUCUUCAACAUUAUCUUAUCAAUGAUUUCACAAUUUUUCUCAGUAAUAGAGACAACAAUCAAAUACACAUGAAAGGUACAAUCAAGCCAAACAAGUUUACAAUCUCUCCUUUUUCCCUACAACAUUUUCACAUCAAUAAUUUCACAAUUGUUUUCAUAAUUUUAUUUCAAUAGUGAUCACCUCGGUCACCCUUAUCACCACAACCCAAACCUUAUUUCUCCGUGUUGCGGCGCACAACCCUCCCCCCUCCCCCCUCCCCGUACAGUUUCCAAUUUUUCAUUAUUACCUCGUCCACCCUUAUUACCUCGGCCACCCUUAUCCCCAAAACCCAAACCUUAUUUCUCCAUGUUGCGGCACGCAACCCGACCCCGCCGUACAGUUUCCAAUUUCCAAACAUCACAAUAACAACAAUUCACAUAGAACAACAACAAUAAUUCUCAAAGAGAAACCAUAACAAUUCACAAGAAUUUCUAUAGCCAUCAAUACCAUUUCCAUCAUAUUCAACAACUCAUGUGCAAUUUAAGUCACCACAAUAAUUAUCCACAACAAGCCAAAUAUGUUAUUACCACAGCUGUUCCAAUUGAAUACUUUAUGACUUCCUUCCAUCAUUUGUUUCUCAUCUCUUACCACAUAACACUUUCUCAAUCAAACAUUUAGUUUAUUGCCAAUUACUUGCACCAUUAUACCUAAACACUCGAAUCAAACCAAUAACAAGAAUUUCACAAAUAGUCCACAUAGGUACCACAUACCAAAUAGUUGUACACCAAACAAGGGACUCUACAAAGGUCAAAGUUAGCCAUACAUACCUCGAUUGAGCUUUCCUUAAGUUACUACAACGUUCCGAAAAUUCUAACAAUUCUAAUCUACUAUGACACAUAACAAAAUUAAUCACAUAUUAGAAAGAUAUUCAUAAUUCUAUCUCAUUUGAGCAUUUUAUCAAACACUAGGUGAGCAUCUUGAUUAUCAAUUCUCUUUUACAAGAUUUCCUUCUUUCCCCAACCCAAUCUUUGCCUAUAUAUGUUCAUCAAUCAUCCCACAAUCCUAAUUUGCAUAUACAUGUACAUAUAAUACUAUUAUACCAAGAAUCAUAUCCCGAAAACCUAUCUCAUAAUCUCUACAACACCAACACAACCUAGGUUAGGCACCUAUGACUUUCAAUCAUCAUCCCAAGAGUUCUAAUAUGUAUAUCAUACAUGAAUAAUCACUACAGAGUAGCUAGAGAUGGUAGAUAUUGUAGUAAGAAUCUUGAGAAUCCAAUUUGUAGUGUUCUUGAAUCAAUUUAGGGAUUGAAUAAAAUCUAAGGAUUUUCAAGAUCAAUCCAGGAAAUCCUAUGAAAUCCAAUCAAAAUCAUGUUGUAUCUAGUGAUUGAGAGGUAAAAUCACCAUGAAAACGUACUUCAAAACUUACCUUGGAUCAUAGGGAUGAAGUUGGGACGAAAUCCCCUUGAGAGAGCAAGACCUAACCCCAAAAAUGACUUGGGAACACGGAUUUGGGGUAUUUAGAGGCCCGUAACUAGCGCGGCCGCACACUUGGGCGCGCAUUUGGGCGCGCUAGUGCCCAGUCGUCUUUCUUGGGCAUGCUAGUUUUAGCGCGGGCGCAUCUGGGCACGCUAGUGACAUAUGCCCUGUAAAAUGGUCAGAACGUUCUCUAUGCACAUCCAAAUGAUGUACGGUUUGUUGAGUUGGGACCUAGACUCAAAGAGCUUUAAUUGGAUAGGUUAAUACUCACACAAAUCCUAAAAUAACCUGAGAUAUGAUCGUUCAAAGUGAGGUCAUGCGCACACUAAUUCACAGGUUUUGUCUAAUCUGAAAUUUUCCAACUUGGCUUAGACUUAGGCCUCUCCUUAGACCCCAAUUCACAUAUAAUAUGAAUUAUAUGCUUAUUAACAUAUCCAAUCGAUUUCCAUAAUAUCUUAAAUCCUCAUUUUCACACAAAAUAAAAUAAUUAGUCUACCUUGGCACUACGAAAUCUCAAAUUACUUGAAAAAAAUUUUCUGGGGCCCUACAGAUGGGGUCCAACGUAAUACUUUAUUUUUUAUCUUUCAAUUUUAAGAAAUACAUUGUUCCAAUAUUAGAAUGUAGACCUACGUUUUCAAAAAAUUGUGUAGCAGUCUUAUUCAGUGAAAUUAGUAGAAUGAAAAACUGGAAAUCAAGAGAACAUAGUACGUAGCACCAUGGUGGAUUAAUACAAAAGAUAGUACGUAGUACUUGGGUGGAUUAAAAGAAAAGAUAGUACGUAGCACUUGGGUGGAUUAAUACAAAAGAUAAGAACAAACUAUAUGGAAAAGACUACACUGUCUCAACUUCAACGACUACUUUAAGAGGAACAAUGUAUUUCUUGGACAACAUCACAAGUGCUAAUAAAAUACUACCAACACCAAUACAAAAUAAUUGUAAAUGACUACCAGCACCAACACAAAGUGGUUGCAAAAUACUACUAACAACACCACCAAAGUUUGUACAUAACACUACCAACAUUAACACAAAAAUUAGCUUAGCUAAGUUGUAACAGCCUGACCCGUCGUCCAGUGUAUUUCUGCCCCGUUUUCCCCUUUUUAUACUGAAAUAUAUUUCAAUAUAUGUAUUUGAGAGUUUUGAGUAAUUCGGAUGGAGUUUUGAUAGAAAUGAGACAAUUAGUCUCUUUAAGAGAAAGUUUGUUUGAAAAAGUCAACCGAAAGUUGACUUAUGAGUUAGAGGGUUCGGAAUGGAUUUCCGAUGAUUCGACUAGUUUCAGAUGGUGAUUUGUAACUAAUCCUAUUCUGAACUGAAACACUAGUUAUACUAAUCAGAAACUAACAAUUAACUAAUCAAAGUGUUAAGACAAUAAAUGGCCAUAGAUAAGUAUGAGUAGAUUAACUACCACAAAAUCAGACUAUAUCAAUAUGAAGAUCAAAGCAGUAUUGGAUUGAAGAACUAACAGGAAUAAAAUAUUUCCAAACUACUUUUUACUGAAACAAUCAAUUAACACUAAGCUAAAUCCUAAAGAUUAAACUAAACUUGACAUAAUUCAAACAAGCUAACAAACUGGGAAUUAACUAAGAAUUAUUCUAGCAUUUAAACAAACAUAAAGACGGUUUGACGAUACUUAAACUUGACACUAAACUAGGCUCGAUUGCAUAAACGGAACUACAAAUUAAAUUAAAAAGAAAAUCUAAGAACAGACAGAGAGAGAAACUUACUGAGAAUUAGUCUUCAAACAAAAAUUUUGAAAUUAACAUCAAGUUAACAUUAUAAGUCCAUCUCAUAGGUAUAUUAUCAACCUGAGUUAACUCGUCUUGAAAAAUCAACAAACCAGCCCCGAACAUUGUGAACCCCAGAUUUGGAAUUCGAGCUCAACCAGUGAGAUUUUAGGGGUUUUGGAUAGGGAUUAGGGACAAGGGAGGUUAGGGGAUUAUAUGGUGUGAUUUUUGGUGGAGUUGGACACUUUAUCAUUUUGAAUCGAUUCUUCAAAUUAAUAUUCGAAGCAGUUGACGAUGAUUUGAGGGAAAUGGAACAUAGACUGGGCGUGAAGGGAGUGAGAGGAAAUCAUGGUGUUCAUGGGGCGGGGUUUGGCUACCGGCGCCGCCACCGGCAGCUGAGGAUUUCUGGGGCGGCUCAUUUAGGGUUCUAGAGAGUGGGGUUGUGAAGAGAGGCGAAGUUGGGGGGGGGGUAUGGUCCGACCAUCUUAUACUAAUCAAACCAGGCUUCCAGGCCGUUAGAUUGCCUUACCUCGACGGCCAGGAUUGGAUCGUGAUAAACGGCACCGUUAAGUGGCCUACUGAAUCGGACAGGGUGGGGGCAGGUAUGGGCCUGGGCAAGGGGGUGUAUUGUUUGGGCUGAGGAAAUUUCUU
This 4598-nucleotide long non-coding RNA is filed under the name Nicotiana benthamiana. RNAcentral describes it as "long non-coding RNA (NBEN_LNC035392)". The record is from RNAcentral. Lineage: Eukaryota; Viridiplantae; Streptophyta; Magnoliopsida; Solanales; Solanaceae.